UGUUCUUAAUAUACUUAAGCAGCACGCUCCCGAUCUCGUCUGAUCUCGGAAGCUAAGCAGGGUCGGGCCUGGUUAGUACUUGGAUGGGAGCAUUUUGAUAUUUAAAUUUUGUUUCAUAAAAC
Cavia aperea (Brazilian guinea pig) is the source of this 122-nucleotide ribosomal RNA. NCBI's taxonomy places the organism in Eukaryota, Metazoa, Chordata, Mammalia, Rodentia, Caviidae. The record is from Ensembl.